UGAAAUUUCUCAACAGUUGAAAAAAAAAGUUGUUCGGUUGUUCAAAAAAAAAAGUUCGUUUGUAAGCGAAAUUACAUGGAAUUUUUUUAUAAAAAAAUCAUGCAUAGAAAAGAAAAAAAGAUCUAAGAAAGUCACUUGUACUUUCCUUUUAUUCAAUAAUAUUUAACCUUUUUCUCCAAUAUUAAUUUCAUGAAGAAUCCUUUCACACGUAUUCUUUCUCAACCAGCCACAUGUGCUUCCCUUUUAUUCAAUAUAAUAUUAAGAAUCUCAUGUCUUACUAAUAAUUUUUCUUCAUAAAUUAUUGGUGCAGAAAAAGCAAUAUAAUAUAUCGAAUGAUUUAGUUCUUGGUGCCAUUGGGUUAAGUCUCUACAUAAUUAUUUAAUUUUCAAUAACGUAUUUGUUUUAUAAUGCACUUUAUAUAUUUUUGUUCAUAUAUUUCAGUUGUUUAUUUGUAUGUAUUUUUUGUUCGUUAUAUUAACAAUCUUUGAAAAAUCUUCAAAAUAAAAAUAUGUUAUGCUACUUCGAAUAGAGCUAUAUGAAAUUUCUCAAUUUUUGAAGAUAUUGAAGGAAAAACCCAUACAUAUGUAAUGUGCUGAUCCUACUUAUUCCACAAAAGUGAAAUUUAAUUUUUUUUUCUUUUUUUAAUACAUUGCAUGAUGUUAUUUUACUGAUGAUGGAUCUGCAUAAGUCAAGAAAGGAUGGGCUGGGCUAUGGAAGAAUAAGUCCGUCCAAUUUAGAACAUGGAAAUUACCCAAAUGAAAAUAUGUUAUGCUACUUUGAAUAGAGGUAUAUGAAGAUAUUAAAGGAAAAAACCAUACAUAUAUAAUAUGUUGAUCAUGCUUAUUCCACAAAAGUGAAAUUUAAUUGUUUCCUUUUUAAUACAUUCUGUAAUAUUAUUUUACUCAUGAUGGAUCAGCAUAAGUCGAGAAACGAUGGGCUGGGUCAUGGAAGAAUAAGUCCAUCCAGUUUAGAACAUGGAAAUUACCCUCUGUAUAUAGAUUUAUGUUGUCUAUUUCAGCAUAAUGCCAGUUUUUUGUUGUGGGUAAUUCAUUUUCUAUCAAGUUAAAUGGUUGAACUUAGGUAAUGUAUAUAUCUAAAAAAUUAUUUCUUCAGUAUAUCUUAUUGUCAACAAAAAUAAUGCAUUCAUCACAAAUGAUUUUCCUUAUUUUGCUACAUGACUUAAAGCAUGCAAAAUAUUCUUUAAAUUGAUUGAAAAGAAUUGCACAUUGUGUUAUUUCCAAUUGGUAAUUGUAGGCAUAAACUGGAUAAAAUUUCAAAGCAAUUCGAAGUGCUGGAAUAAAAUCCAUGCAUAUGUGCAUAAUACUUAUGUAAGAAAGAUAAUGUUUAGUUAUUUUACAAAUAACAAAAUUGCCAUCAACCAAAAUGGGAUAGAUUGUGUAGCCUAAGGUGACUAAGGGUGAUUCAGGUUGGAUCUUGAAAGGUGACCUAUUGGACUUUCAAGUUGCCUGGUCUAUCUAAUGUCAUGUUGGUUGUGAGUCAAACCUACAUAGACUUUUCUUUUAUUCCAUUCUUAAUACUUUCUACUUUUAUUAGAACUUUUCCUUCUUAUAGUAUCUUUUUUGGCAGUUCAGCAUCAAAGUUGGGACAAGUUAGCUAAAUCAAAUCAUGUCAAAGACUUUCUUGCUAGGUGCAAUAAAGUUUUAUAUGUCAUGAUGGAUUAGGUUAAACCAUGACUAGAUGAGUUGAGCUAUUUAAAAUUAAGUCCAAAUUAGAUAUACAUGGUAGGCCAUAGUUGUACUGGGAUUGUAAAUAUAAAUAUUUAAAAUGAAUCUAUUCGCAUGCAACGAGUGGCAAUAUUUACAUUAUUAUAUUAUGCGAAAAGGAGAAAGUAUUGGAAGUGAAAUUCUUUCUCUCCUCUUUCUCAAAAAUCUAGAAAAGGGGAUAAAAUCAUAAUAUUUUGCUUGAUUUAAGGUCAACCGGGGCGUCGAAAAUACAGGGUAUUUAUUUCCCUACAUCUUUUUCAUUGUACGUCUGCCCCUUUUCCCGCCUCUCCUCAUUGUCAUCAUUAGAUUUUUUUUUUGAUAAUAUUUCUUGCAUUUUUUUGAUAUUAAUAUUUUUUAUUAACUAGGUCCCAAGUAUGAUAUGCUUUGGUUAUUUUUUCAGAGAAACUUGCAAUGCUGAUAUUAGGUUUCAUAUUCUAAUCUAUUCAAAGAUGCUAAGGUAGCUUUAUGUUGCACAAUUUUAUCAUUUCUCUAUAUUUUUUUUACUUUGAAGAUUUAGUUUUUCUAAUAAUUAGCUCAUCAUCAUUAUAGAUAGGAAAAAUUAAAAUAAUCGUGGAUAACCAAGAUUUCAAAUCUUAGACACGAUGUAUUAGUGACUAACUCUUCUUCUUUAAGUGACAAUUAGCAUAUAGAUUACAUAACAGGGGGGUUUAAUUAAAUAGUGUAUAGACUAUUGGACACAAUCUUGAUGUAUAUCAUUCGAUUCGACUCCGCAUCUUGUUUUGUAUUUCCACCUAAUUACAAAUUUUGUAUUUCUUGCAUUCUUCAAUCAUUUUAUUAAAUAAUUUAUCAUUCCCAUGAGUGCUAUAUUUUUAUUAAUGAAAUUUUGAAAUUAAAAUGAUCGAUAAUUAUAAAAUGCGUUGCACCUAUAAUAUAUUUUUUAUUUUAUUUUUUGAAAAGUUAUUUAUUCUUCUAUUAGGUAAAUUUAUAUUUAAAUUUUUAUUAUCUUCUCCGCGCAUUGUGCGGGUAUGAACUCUUCAGGAUGACUGAGUACUUUGAUACAAAUUUGAGUUUGUCGCUUGAGUAUUACAGCAUAUUCUUCUGAUGGGAGGAUGAAUUUUCAGUAUCAUUUGGUUUGUCUCUUCAUUGCUGUGUCUCGCUAAUUAAUUGGACUUUUGAGGACACAUACUAAGCAAUGAACUAGGUUCUAACAUUUAUUAAUUUUUGAACAUGUGUAUAUUAGCGUAAAGCUAAAACCCAUCCGUGAAUGAUUCAACCUGCAUUGUCUUCUAGUCAAACUAAACCACUAGUUGACCUCCAAAACCAUGGGGUCGACAUCAGCAGUAAGAGUCUUUAAAAAAGUGGAGCCUUAGAAAUAUAAGGUUUCAAGAAAGAUAAAACUGGAUGGCUUAGCCUGGUAUGAACUCUUCAGGAUGACUGAGUACUUUGAUACAAAUUUGAGUUUGUCGCUUGAGUAUUACAGCAUAUUCUUCUGAUGGGAGGAUGAAUUUUCAGUAUCAUUUGGUUUGUCUCUUCAUUAUAACAUGCAAAGAAGAAUUUUAGAGAUGCUAGAUUAAAGGAAAAAUAAGGAUAAAAAAAUUUAAGGUAAGUUGUGUAUUUAUUCUUUACUUCUGGAAUUAUAAAACAAAAGAUUUAUGGUCUGAGAAAUGGGCAUGCAUAAGCAUAAUGGUGACAUACCAUAAGCAAUGUUAGAGCCAUUAGUUUCUAGAGGUUGGGAAAAACGGGGUACUAUAACUUUGAUAUGCUAGCCAAUUUUCUUAUCUUGUUUGAGAAAAUUUACUGAGAUCAUUUCUUGACAAGUUUAAGGAAAGAAAAGGUAAGAGUGGAAAGUCAAGCUCUUCCCCUUUUUUGGGUAAACCAAAGUCAAACUUAUUUGACGGAGAUUUUUGACCAUGGAAUGGUCGUCAGACCACCAACUUGGUUUCUGUUGAUUAUUAUAUAACUGAAUGUUAGUAUCUUUUGCAAAAUCAGUUGUUUGGUAUUCCAUCAAAUGCAGGAUUAUUCAAGCACCUUUUCUGAUCUCUGUUUUUCACAAAACUUUGCCCACGAAAGCUCCAAACCACAUGAGAAUAUCCAAUCUUCAGAAAUACAAUCACAUACUUAGGAGUCUUUGCUGACUGAAUGUGCUUCCAAAAAGCUUUUUCUGAUGAUCAAGUUGUCAGGGAAGGAGAUUCUUUGCCAGAGAUAAGACCACUCCUACAGUUUUCAAGUCAGUCAAUCCAGGGAGGAGGGCAUCACCAGAAGUCAUAAAGUUAUGGAAGGAAAAAGGCCUUAGAAGCUUGAUGGUUGCUGCUCCAGAACUGGAGGUGGGGAGCUUAGUUCAAGAUCUGCUGCCACUUAUUAUCAUAUUCUGCACCAUUUGCAAUUUAUCACCAAUGCCAUCAGAGACUCCAAACUGCAAGAAUGGCCAUUGGAUUGCAAAUUUGAGAGCCUUGCUUCGUGAAUAUCAGGUCAGACUUUCUAAUGUGGUUAAAAUAGAGAGCCAUUUAUCCCACUGUUAACAUGUAAGUGUAUAUGCACAUUCAUUAGCAUGAGGUGCAACUUAGAUCACUUGAAGCAGUAAUGUGCAUGUACAUUUUUAUUUUUUUUUCCUUGGUAUCGUCUCUCCAUUUUGCCUAUAAUUUUCGUUCAUGCUAAAGGCACGCAUCUUUAGUUCAAAUCAGCAAGAUUAGCCAUCAGAUUUGAGACACUUACUUUCAGCAAAAAAUGUUCUUUCAUCAUGUUAUUUAUAGAUUAUUAUGCUUGUUAAGACGUAAGUCAUUGAAUUAAUUGCUGUCCGCUGCAUUUGUUCUGCUAACAUCAGCAGAUUUAGAACUAUUGUAUUUGCUCAGAUGUCAACUGAUGCAAUCAGGAUCUUACUACUUUGCAGGGCUAUUUUCAGACAUUUAGUAAUGAUGCCAGCCCCCUUAUAGGUCGAAGGCAUUUUUCAUUAGCUUUCUUGUGUGAUACCAUCCAGUCACUGUUUUGUACAGAACUUUCUCCAUAAUCUUGGGACAUUAGUGAGUGCGUCUCCAAGACUGAUUCUGUUGUUUUAGUGUGCGGUUAUUCUUCUGAUUUUUCUCUGAACUUCGUACACGAAACAGCCAUAGAGAAGCUUUCCAAUCGCUUAGGCCCAGUUGUGUUAAAAUAUGGGAAGUUCAUGGGCCAUGCUGAUUCAAUAACAUGCUUCUUCACCAUUAUGCAAUGAAACUUUAUACUUGACCUUGUUUUUUUGCGUUAAUUCUAGUGGACAUCUGUCAUCCACUAGAGUUUGUCUGGGAAAGAAAAACUGGCUAGUUUAGCUUGUGGUGCUAUAGGAGGUUUUUUUGGAUGUUUCUAUAUCUGUAGGAGCAAUGCAUAAAGCCUGGCAAUGUAAGUGAAAACAAGGUUCUUGACUUAAUACUUAUGGUAGGAAAUUUGCAUGUUAUCA
This is a non-coding RNA of Phoenix dactylifera (date palm), 5112 nucleotides long. NCBI's taxonomy places the organism in Eukaryota, Viridiplantae, Streptophyta, Magnoliopsida, Arecales, Arecaceae. The record is from RefSeq and is a predicted model, not a curated record.